GGUGGCUCAGUGGUAGAGCACUUGCCUUGCAUGCAUGAGGCGCUGAGUUCUAUUCCUCAGCACCA
RNAcentral lists this transfer RNA (65 nucleotides) under Dipodomys ordii (Ord's kangaroo rat). It matches the Rfam family "tRNA". From Rfam's summary of the family: Transfer RNA (tRNA) molecules are approximately 80 nucleotides in length. Their secondary structure includes four short double-helical elements and three loops (D, anti-codon, and T loops). Further hydrogen bonds mediate the characteristic L-shaped molecular structure. tRNAs have two regions of fundamental functional importance: the anti-codon, which is responsible for specific mRNA codon recognition, and the 3' end, to which the tRNAs corresponding amino acid is attached (by aminoacyl-tRNA synthetases). tRNAs cope with the degeneracy of the genetic code in two manners: having more than one tRNA (with a specific anti-codon) for a particular amino acid; and 'wobble' base-pairing, i.e. permitting non-standard base-pairing at the 3rd anti-codon position. The record is from Rfam by way of RNAcentral. Lineage: Eukaryota; Metazoa; Chordata; Mammalia; Rodentia; Heteromyidae.